RNAcentral lists this unclassified non-coding RNA (355 nucleotides) under fungal sp. RNAcentral's name for it is "partial internal transcribed spacer region". The stretch from base 1 to 46 matches the Rfam family "Eukaryotic small subunit ribosomal RNA", at positions 1786 to 1831 of the family's 1831-position model. The record is from RNAcentral. Lineage: Eukaryota; Fungi.
AAGUCGUAACAAGGUUUCCGUAGGUGAACCUGCGGAAGGAUCAUUAACACGUAUCCAACGUUAAAACCCCCCCGUGAACCUUCAGUGUGCUCGUACGCUUUGUUAGAAAGUAGCAAUCCCUGGUAAAUCAUCGCCGAACAGUUUUGAUUCAGGGACUUCUGCGAAGAGUGUGCUUGUAGCGCGAGGCAAGUGGCCUGGCAUCCUUGUCUGAAAGUGUCAAGGGUGGCGCAGUCACGAUCACUAGAGCGACCGGGUCACCGGGCUCACCCCUUAAUAACCUUUGCAUGAAACGGGCCUGCGCUUAAUUGUGCGGCCAUAAACCGAACAACUGUUAACAAUGGAUAUCUUGGUUCUC